RNAcentral lists this long non-coding RNA (701 nucleotides) under Vulpes vulpes (red fox). RNAcentral describes it as "lncRNA (ENSVVUG00000019533.1)". The record is from RNAcentral. Lineage: Eukaryota; Metazoa; Chordata; Mammalia; Carnivora; Canidae.
AGAAGAUCAAAAAUUUCAAUCAUUUUGUUGAAAAUGAUUUAUGGUAGACCCUUAGCUCUGUAUUUUUGCUGAGCUACCAAGUAUAUCUACCAAGUCUAAAUUUUUAAGAACUGCAUUUCAUUAAAGAACUGAUACUUUAUUAAAUUAUUGUAAAUGUUGCAAUCAAAUCUGAUGUGUAUCUUUGUCAUCUUCUUAAAAUCUAAAACAAGCAUUCCACAUGGAUCUUCUAGGCUCUGAGGAAAUUUCUACCUGCAUAGGCACAUGGUACCUGUCUUCCUCCCAGGUUCCUCACACCACUCCUCCGAACUCACCAUUCACUAAGGAACUUCCAGCUCCAGGAUAACCUCAGGUUCCAUGUCUGCCAUUCCCUUCCACCCAGGCAAAAUUCAGAUCUUUUCAGAUGCAGGAAUGAAUCCAAAGUCUUUGCAUAUCUUGCUCAGCUUUUUCAUCUAUUCUCUGAAUGUACUGCCAAGGACAUCUGCUUCUGCCCUGCCAUCUAUUUGCCCACAGCCUUAUAAAGAGCUUUCUAGAUACUAUUAUAUUCAGAGAUUUCACUCCUUAAACCAUAUUAAAACACACCUACAUCCUACAGUAAAUAUAGUUUUGGUGUAAAAUAAUUUAUAGAGGAUUUGCCUUACACAAUUCACUUAGUACAGGAAUGAUUCUUGCAUGAUUUCUUAAUAAACAUGGGCUUUUAGGCA